UACAGCACCACAGGGAGAGAGAGGGGGAGAGGGCAAACUCCACUGAACUAGUUUCAAAAGAGUUUUGGAAAAGAAAGUAGUUUCUCCUUGAAACCUGCAUCAGGAAACCAGGUGGUUCAACUGACUGCUUUCAAGCCCUCAGGCUGCUGAUGGAAUGUUUGGAAUUGGACACAAAGGCACAUUUAUCAUACAACCUGGUGGGAAGAAAGCGGAAUUGCACAGUGAAUACCACAAACAGAUACACACAAUAGAUGCAUCCUCUCUCAUACAAAUAUUGUAGAUGAUGUAAAUAGACACACACUCAAAAACUGCACGUAUAGAAUACACACACACACACACACACACACACACACACACACACACACACAUAUAUAUAUAUAUAUACACCCCACAUACAGAAUGAAAGACUCAAAGAUGUGCACACACACACACACACAGAGCGUGUGAAGCAGGAAGCGUUUUUUUUAGGGCGACAGCUCCUCCUCCACCACAGUGUCCCAUUCCCAGGGUCAGAAACCAUCUGCUGUUUAGGAAAUCGCUGUUCCAGAGAGGCAACACAACAUUUGUCGUGUGCAUACAGACCUCAGUUUCAUUCUCUUUUGCUGAGUGGCUUAUCACACCUUCAGUCUUUUUUUUACAGUCAUCUUUUUGUGUAUGUGUCGUUUUGGUUUUUACAGACAUAACUAGACAGUAGACGUUACGGUUUUUACAGACAUAACUAGACAGUAGACGUUACUGUUUUUACAGACGUAACUAGACAGUAGACGUUACGGUUUUUACAGACAUAACUAGACAGUAGACGUUACUGUUUUUACAGACAUAACUAAACAGUAGAUGUUACUGUUUUUACAGACAUAACUAGACAGUAGACGUUACUGUUUUUACAGACAUAACUAGACAGUAGACGUUACUGUUUUUACAGACAUAACUAAAUAGUAGACGUUACUGUUUUUACAGACGUAACUAGACAGUAGACGUUACUGUUUUUACAGACAUAACUAGACAGUAGACGUUACUGUUUUUACAGACAUAACUAGACAGUAGACGUUACUGUUUUUACAGACAUAACUAGACAGUAGACGUUACUGUUUUUACAGACAUAACUAGACAGUAGACGUUACUGUUUUUACAGACAUAACUAGACAGUAGACAUGACUGUUUUUACAGACAUAACUAGGCAGUAGACAUGACUGUUUUUACAGACAUAACUAGACAGUAGACAUUACUGUUUUUACAGACAUAACUAGACAGUAGACAUGACUGUUUUUACAGACAUAACUAGACAGUAGACUUUACUGUUUUUACAGACAUAACUAGACAGUAGAUGUUACUGUUUUUACAGACAUAACUAGACAGUAGACAUUACUGUUUUUACAGACAUAACUAGGCAGUAGACAUGACUGUUUUUACAGACAUAACUAGACAGUAGACAUGACUGUUUUUACAGACAUAACUAAACAGUAGACGUUACUGUUUUUACAGACAUAACUAGACAGUAGACAUGACUGUUUUUACAGACAUAACUAGACAGUAGACAUGACUGUUUUUACAGACAUAACUAGACAGUAGACAUGACUGUUUUUACAGACAUAACUAGACAGUAGACAUGACUGUUUUU
Long non-coding RNA from Oncorhynchus tshawytscha (Chinook salmon), 1618 nucleotides. Lineage: Eukaryota; Metazoa; Chordata; Actinopteri; Salmoniformes; Salmonidae. The record is from Ensembl.